Molecule: unclassified non-coding RNA, 858 nt
Filed under: Hevea brasiliensis (rubber tree)
Lineage: Eukaryota; Viridiplantae; Streptophyta; Magnoliopsida; Malpighiales; Euphorbiaceae
Source: RNAcentral
CUCCAAAAAAUCUAAAAACCAGAACACGGUUUUGUUAUCUACCAAUACAUAUGAAUAAAGGUACAUGAAUUUGUGCAAUGUUAAAAACUCUUAAGUGGCUAAUCAGGAAGACAAACCCAUGCAUGAACUAUAAUUGACACGUAGACUCAACAUAUAAGUUUUCAGAAACAACAAUUUACCAAUAGUAGAAUAAAAUCUGCAGCCAAAAUAAAAUACACCCAUUUUUCUUUCCCUAACAUUUCAAAAACAAAGAAUGAUGUAUGCACUUAAUAAAGUUUAUCACUCAUCUGACUAGCCAUCUGAAUGUUGAACCAAAAAUUAAAAUGACAUGUGAAAAAAUAUAUUAAUAGCUUGUUUGGUUGCUCCUCAUCAUAUGUUUGCAUUCUGAGAUUAAUGCUAAAAAUGGUGGCACAGUGAAAAAUCUGGGAGAAAGCAAUUCUAAAAGUUGCCACAGACAUAUGCCAAUUCAUACCAGCUAAAUGUGAAUAAUCCAGAUAGUGAGUUGAAGGAUAAAAGGCAAGGGGAAAACUAAUCCUUUCCUCGGUUGAAAAGGAUGAGUAAAAAACAAAUUUGGGAACUAUUAUUGUAUUCAGCACUAUCUAAGAGCUUGAUUGUGUAAAUUGCUCCCUCCGGCCCACUUCAAGUCCUUUUUAAGGUUUUUACACAAGAAUUAAGGAAAUGAUUAGAUAACCUCAUUUUUAUAAAAAAAAAAUACUAAUAAUUGACUAAAAUACCCUUAUAUUUAAUUAAAAAUAGAGAAAUGCGAUAAAGAAGAGAUAAAUGCAUUGGAGAUAAUAAUAGACAAGGAUAAAGUUAGAAAAAAAAUAAUUAAUGCUUCCUUAAUUUUCUAAAAUGGCA